This is a long non-coding RNA of Sparus aurata (gilthead seabream), 1858 nucleotides long. The record is from Ensembl. Lineage: Eukaryota; Metazoa; Chordata; Actinopteri; Spariformes; Sparidae.
CAGACGUGUUAGACUCAUUAGACAAUGUAACAAGCAUUUUGUGCUUAUACCAGGUUGUUUAUGUGUGUGUCAUUCCUCAGCUGCAGAGAUGUAAAGCAGACCUGGAUUUGAGCCUCCCUCCUCCCCUGGACUCAGUUGUCUUGUGGCUGCAGCGAGCGGAGGCAGCGCUAACAGAAGAGGGAGGAGGAGGGGAGGAUCACGCAGAUGCUGCCAAAGAAGCAAGAGUUCAACAGGACACACUAAAGGUUAUUUUUAAUUUGACACUACAGAAGAAAAUCAACAAUCGAAAUCAAACAUUUUCUAGACAACUCUGAAGCGGCAUAUAUGCUGUGGGAUGAGAAUGUUGCAUCUUAUCUUUUGUGCUUCUAAUUUUUGCUGUUUUAUUCUUCAGACUUUAAUUAAGGAGAUGAGCCAUCACGUCAAUAUCCUUGAUACCUACCGCAACAUGGAUGACUCAGGAAAUGUAGUAGUGCCGCUGGAAAAGUUUGAUGAGAUAAAAAGACGGUACGUGAAAUAAUUGUUCAACCUCUGUAAUGUGUAAAAUGUGAUAGAAAUUAAAUCCAUAAAUCUUUAAGUCUCUGUUAAAUGUAUCUGGAGUUCAGCUCCUAUGAAACCCUUACGGAAAGCAUUCACACCCUCUUUGUUUAUGAACAGUUUAACCGAUGUCCGAGUCACUGCCAAGUAUCAAGGGAUUAAGUUGGAAUACCAGGAAUCCCGUCACACUGUUAUGGAUCUUCUGGGUCGCAUCAAUGAUAAGCUUCAGACCUGGAAAGCUCCCUACAGAUCUCAGGAGACAGUUCUUGUGCUUCUGCAGGACUGGCACGACACAGUGGAGCGGCAGGGACUGCUUUUGAUUCUAAUGGACGCUCUCCAAAAUCUGAAGGAGAAGGCGAAUGCUUACACCAGCAAGGCAGCGCUUGGUAUGUGCUACAUGUGUUUGUUCUGUACGCACAAAAUCUCAGUUUUAUCCUUUCAUGAAGAUUCUUUAUUUUUCAAAAGUCAAGCCCUGAUCUCCCCACACUCUUCUCUAUAUCCAGGUGAAGGUUCCCAGUGUGUCACUCGUCAGGUGAAUGAAGCAGAAAGCGAAUCUGAACUGGUUUCACAGGCCGUGACAGCUGUCAGGGGGAUGAUGGAGAGGGUGGUGUCUGCGUGGGAGACCUACAACACCUGCAUAACUUCUCUGCAGACGUGGUUGGCACAAAAAAUACAUUCACACACCCAGUCUCCCGCUGCAGGGACGCAGGGUAUGAGUGAGUGGACGUCAUGUCAGGCUAAGCUAAACCAGGCAGGGAACUUACUCAUCGAAUUGACAGAAUCUUCGACCAGCCUCGCUCUGGCUGAGCAACUCAGCAAGGUCAACAUGCAGUGGGCUGAAUGCAUGAAGAAGACAAUGUUUGAAGUAUCAUCAGAGCCCAGUGUCGGUCCCCUCUGUUUUCAAAUGGUACAUUCACUGACCCAGGAGGCCAGUCAGCUUCUGAGGCAGCCACUGGAUGUGGCCUCUGUCCCACUGAAGGCAAACAGACAGAAGCUACAGCUACUGAGUAAGAAGAUGGCUGACGUGGACCUAUCAUCCCUCAGUUCAUCCCCAGACUUUCAAACAAGCCACAUAGAGAACCUCAUGCAAACGCUCCCACAGAUGCUUGCUGAAGCAGAGAGGAGCUGUGGGGAGCUGCAGAAGGCUGCGUCCAGGCUGGAGGGCCAUCUGGCCGAGCUGGAUCACUGGACCACAGACGCCCAAGACUGUCACCAGCACCUAAAGGAGAAAAAACAUAGAGGACGCUCUGCUGUGGAAUCUACAGUCAAAGUCAGCAAAUCACAGCUUUCCACACCUUCAAACUUACAGAAAAGCAUUUGUUAA